RNAcentral lists this transfer RNA (91 nucleotides) under Gammaproteobacteria bacterium. RNAcentral's name for it is "tRNA-Leu". It matches the Rfam family "tRNA". From Rfam's summary of the family: Transfer RNA (tRNA) molecules are approximately 80 nucleotides in length. Lineage: Bacteria; Pseudomonadati; Pseudomonadota; Gammaproteobacteria. The record is from RNAcentral.
GCGAAAGUGGCGGAACCGGCAGACGCGCCGGCUUUAGGAGCCGGUGGGGAAACUACUCCCUGUGAGAGUUCGAAUCUCUCCUUUCGCACCA